GAUGAGCGCUGGCGGCGUGCCUAACACAUGCAAGUCGAACGAACCCUUCGGGGUUAGUGGCGGACGGGUGAGUAACACGUUAGUACCUACCCUUUAGUGGGGAAUAACUCGGCGAAAGUCGGGCUAAUACCGCAUACGAUCCCUCGGGAUGAAAGCAUUUAUGCGCUAAAGGAGGGGCUUGCGUCUGAUUAGCUAGUUGGUAGUGUAAUGGACUACCAAGGCAAUGAUCAGUAGCUGGUUCGAGAGGAUGACCAGCCACACUGGGACUGA
RNAcentral lists this ribosomal RNA (270 nucleotides) under uncultured bacterium. RNAcentral's name for it is "partial 16S ribosomal RNA". It matches the Rfam family "Bacterial small subunit ribosomal RNA", at positions 28 to 322 of the family's 1533-position model. The record is from RNAcentral.